AAUGAACGCUGGCGGUAGGCCUAACACAUGCAAGUCGAACGGCAGCACAGGAGAGCUUGCUCUCUGGGUGGCGAGUGGCGGACGGGUGAGGAAUACAUCGGAAUCUACUCUGUCGUGGGGGAUAACGUAGGGAAACUUACGCUAAUACCGCAUACGACCUACGGGUGAAAGCAGGGGACCUUCGGGCCUUGCGCGAAUGAAUGAGCCGAUGCCGGAUUAGCUAGUUGGCGGGGUAAAGGCCCACCAAGGCGACGAUCCGUAGCUGGUCUGAGAGGAUGAUCAGCCACACUGGAACUGAGACACGGUCCAGACUCCUACGGGAGGCAGCAGUGGGGAAUAUUGGACAAUGGGCGCAAGCCUGAUCCAGCCAUACCGCGUGGGUGAAGAAGGCCUUCGGGUUGUAAAGCCCUUUUGUUGGGAAAGAAAUCCAGCUGGCUAAUACCCGGUUGGGAUGACGGUACCCAAAGAAUAAGCACCGGCUAACUUCGUGCCAGCAGCCGCAGUAA
This 506-nucleotide ribosomal RNA is filed under the name uncultured bacterium. RNAcentral describes it as "partial 16S ribosomal RNA". It matches the Rfam family "Bacterial small subunit ribosomal RNA", at positions 29 to 523 of the family's 1533-position model. The record is from RNAcentral.